This is a long non-coding RNA of Diceros bicornis minor, 1373 nucleotides long. RefSeq lists it as uncharacterized. Lineage: Eukaryota; Metazoa; Chordata; Mammalia; Perissodactyla; Rhinocerotidae. The record is from RefSeq and is a predicted model, not a curated record. The transcript is spliced from 4 exons.
GGCUGAGAACCACUUCUCUGCACAGCUUCCAACCCUCCAGACAAUCAAAGUGUAUCUCGCCGAGUUUCUGGGACUGGAAAGGAACCAAGAAGAGCCUGGGGUGGCAUCUCCAAAGCUGGAUCUCAGAACGUUUCGGGAAUCGAAGGAGGUAGAGGCAUGAAAUUCUUGGUAAGGCACGUGGCACUGACACACCUAUAAGGGAUUCUUGUUAUAACCAUCGAUUCUCCCUAAAAGGUUCAUUCCUCUUUGCACGAAAAGAUGCCUGAAAGAACCAUCACCGAACACACGGCAGGAUGUCAAGCCCGCCCAUGCCUCCUGGGCAGCCAGAGAAGCCGGACUGCUACCACUGCCGGAUUUCUACUCCCACCCCCAGGGGGAGAGUCAGCUAUGGACAGGCAGUGUCAAGGCAUGGGGUAUAAAUUCUAGUGAAAAAUCCCAAGAGUACCUACUACCCAGAUCAACACCCAGAGGACGGCACCAGGAGACACGAUUCCUGAAAUUCCUUCUCCGCACUCCUCAGAGGAGGGAAAAAAACCUGAGUUGGUGAUAAUUCUGUAAGCUAUGUUGCUCUUGUCAAAUUAUUCAACAUCUGUCUUCAUGUUCCCACAAAAAUUAGCAUAGGAUAGUAGUUUCUGAUGACACCUUUAGUGAAAUAUUUUGACUUCCACCAGUAAGUUGCAAACAACCUGUCUUAAGGAUAAUGUCAAUUCCCACUCCUGCAUAUUAAAUAAUCCAGGGGUUUGUUGUGUUUUUGUAAGGGAGAGGAGUCCCACCCACCUGCCCCUGGCUGGAAGUCCUGCAGCUAUAAGAGAAGGAAAAGAAGCUAGGAUGGAGGAGGGGGUAUUCUCUGAUGCUAUCCACAUGCAGGAUGCCCCUCUUCCAUCACCUGGCUACUGCAUAUGCCCCAGAAGUAGGCUUUUGGGGGCCAGCCCACCCCCCUGCCCUGCCAGAAAGAAGAUUACAGGAUCCACCCCAGAGCACAACCAACUGGGCCAGGAGAUUGGGAGGUGGGGAGGGAAGAGAGGACCAGCUCCAAAUGGACCAUCUGGUCUAGUACUCGGCUGCUGUAGCAUCUGUGCCCCAAAGAAGAGCGAAGCCACCUGGCCAGACUGAGAGCACCUCCCUAGUCCUACCGCAGACAGUGGACCUCAGAGCCGGCACGAGGACCCUCAGAGGGAAGCCGGGCAUAGGGCUCCGGGCACCUGCCUCCCUCCAGCCUCAGCAGAGACUCACAGUCCAGGCCAGAUCCAGUCGAGUUUGCCCUCCACAUCCUCCUCUUCUUCCCUCUCCUCAAUUCAGCUUCCAUGUCAGUCGGCCCCUCUCUCAGCCACAGAGGCCUGGGGGCAGAGUGGAAGGGGCUGGGGUUCCCUCCC